UUUAUGGAGAGUUUGAUCCUGGCUCAGGAUGAACGCUGGCGGCGUGCCUAAUACAUGCAAGUCGAGCGAACGGACGAGAAGCUUGCUUCUCUGAUGUUAGCGGCGGACGGGUGAGUAACACGUGGAUAACCUACCUAUAAGACUGGGAUAACUUCGGGAAACCGGAGCUAAUACCGGAUAAUAUUUUGAACCGCAUGGUUCAAAAGUGAAAGACGGUCUUGCUGUCACUUAUAGAUGGAUCCGCGAUGCAUUAGCUAGUUGGUAAGGUAACGGCUUACCAAGGCAACGAUGCAUAGCCGACCUGAGAGGGUGAUCGGCCACACUGGAACUGAGACACGGUCCAGACUCCUACGGGAGGCAGCAGUAGGGAAUCUUCCGCAAUGGGCGAAAGCCUGACGGAGCAACGCCGCGUGAGUGAUGAAGGUCUUCGGAUCGUAAAACUCUGUUAUUAGGGAAGAACAUAUGUGUAAGUAACUGUGCGCAUCUUGACGGUACCUAAUCAGAAAG
RNAcentral lists this ribosomal RNA (507 nucleotides) under Staphylococcus aureus. Its description in RNAcentral is "bacterial SSU rRNA". It matches the Rfam family "Bacterial small subunit ribosomal RNA", at positions 1 to 490 of the family's 1533-position model. Lineage: Bacteria; Bacillati; Bacillota; Bacilli; Caryophanales; Staphylococcaceae. The record is from RNAcentral.